AGUGAACGCUGGCGGUAGGCCUAACACAUGCCAGUCGAACGGCAGCACAGUAAGAGCUUGCUCUUACGGGUGGCGAGUGGCGGACGGGUGAGGAAUACAUCGGAAUCUACUUUUUCGUGGGGGAUAACGUAGGGAAACUUACGCUAAUACCGCAUACGACCUACGGGUGAAAGCAGGGGAUCUUCGGACCUUGCGCGAUUGAAUGAGCCGAUGUCGGAUUAGCUAGUUGGCGGGGUAAAGGCCCACCAAGGCGACGAUCCGUAGCUGGUCUGAGAGGAUGAUCAGCCACACUGGAACUGAGACACGGUCCAGACUCCUACGGGAGGCAGCAGUGGGGAAUAUUGGACAAUGGGCGCAAGCCUGAUCCAGCCAUACCGCGUGGGUGAAGAAGGCCUUCGGGUUGUAAAGCCCUUUUGUUGGGAAAGAAAAGCAGCAGGUUAAUACCCCGCUGUUUUGACGGUACCCAAAGAAUAAGCACCGGCUAACUUCGUG
Molecule: ribosomal RNA, 492 nt
Filed under: uncultured bacterium
Lineage: Bacteria
Description: partial 16S ribosomal RNA
Rfam family: Bacterial small subunit ribosomal RNA
Source: RNAcentral